CUUGCUUCUCUGAUGGUUAGCGGCGGACGGGUGAGUAACACGUAGGCAACCUGCCCUCAAGCUUGGGACAACUACCGGAAACGGUAGCUAAUACCGAAUAGUUGUUUUCUUCUCCUGAAGAGAACUGGAAAGACGGAGCAAUCUGUCACUUGGGGAUGGGCCUGCGGCGCAUUAGCUAGUUGGUGGGGUAACGGCUCACCAAGGCGACGAUGCGUAGCCGACCUGAGAGGGUGAUCGGCCACACUGGGACUGAGACACGGCCCAGACUCCUACGGGAGGCAGCAGUAGGGAAUCUUCCGCAAUGGGCGAAAGCCUGACGGAGCAAUGCCGCGUGAGUGAUGAAGGUUUUCGGAUCGUAAAGCUCUGUUGCCAGGGAAGAACGCUUGGGAGAGUAACUGCUCUCAAGGUGACGGUACCUGAGAAGAAAGCCCCGGCUAACUACGUGCCAGCAGCCGCGGUAAUACGUAGGGGGCAAGCGUUGUCCGGAAUUAUUGGGCGUAAAGCGCGCGCAGGCGGUCAUUUAAGUCUGGUGUUUAAUC
This 539-nucleotide ribosomal RNA is filed under the name Paenibacillus sp. Its description in RNAcentral is "bacterial SSU rRNA". It matches the Rfam family "Bacterial small subunit ribosomal RNA", at positions 79 to 601 of the family's 1533-position model. Lineage: Bacteria; Bacillati; Bacillota; Bacilli; Caryophanales; Paenibacillaceae. The record is from RNAcentral.